This 267-nucleotide long non-coding RNA is filed under the name Populus tremula. Its description in RNAcentral is "long non-coding RNA (PTRE_LNC002352)". Lineage: Eukaryota; Viridiplantae; Streptophyta; Magnoliopsida; Malpighiales; Salicaceae. The record is from RNAcentral.
UAGAGGUGGCGGUGGCUGAGCGGCUCAGCUUCAAACCAAAGUAAACAGACGGAGAAUGAAAGGGAGCUGCCGAGCGCCUAGACGUGAAGGGGCACCGGACAUGUCCACUCACCGGUUCUUUUUCCUCGCAGGGCCUCGAGUACUUGAGCUUCUCGACUUGACAUCACUUUUCCAUGAAGAAAAGGAUUUUGUUUCCCUUUUUUGCUGGUAAAUACAGGCACUUGCCAACAGCAACAAUGGCGUGCAAAUUGCCAAAGUCAAAUUGAG